This 468-nucleotide ribosomal RNA is filed under the name uncultured bacterium. Its description in RNAcentral is "partial 16S ribosomal RNA". It matches the Rfam family "Bacterial small subunit ribosomal RNA", at positions 28 to 507 of the family's 1533-position model. The record is from RNAcentral.
GACGAACGCUGGCGGCGUGCUUAACACAUGCAAGUCGAACGGAAAGGCCCUGCUUUUGUGGGGUGCUCGAGUGGCGAACGGGUGAGUAACACGUGAGUAACCUGCCCUUGACUUUGGGAUAACUUCAGGAAACUGGGGCUAAUACCGGAUAGGAGCUCCUGCUGCAUGGUGGGGGUUGGAAAGUUUCGGCGGUUGGGGAUGGACUCGCGGCUUAUCAGCUUGUUGGUGGGGUAGUGGCUUACCAAGGCUUUGACGGGAAGCCGGCCUGAGAGGGUGACCGGCCACAUUGGGACUGAGAUACGGCCCAGACUCCUACGGGAGGCAGCAGUGGGGAAUAUUGCACAAUGGGCGGAAGCCUGAUGCAGCAACGCCGCGUGCGGGAUGACGGCCUUCGGGUUGUAAACCGCUUUCGCCAGUGACGAAGCGUGAGUGACGGUAAUGGGUAAAGAAGCACCGGCUAACUACGUG